Molecule: transfer RNA, 88 nt
Filed under: Clonostachys rosea
Lineage: Eukaryota; Fungi; Ascomycota; Sordariomycetes; Hypocreales; Bionectriaceae
Rfam family: tRNA
About the family: Transfer RNA (tRNA) molecules are approximately 80 nucleotides in length. Their secondary structure includes four short double-helical elements and three loops (D, anti-codon, and T loops).
Source: RNAcentral
GACACUGGAUUAAGCUAAUUGUGAUAUAGCGCGCUGGCCUGCUAAGCCAGUUCCUUCGGGAGCGUGAGUUCGAAUCUCACAGGUGUCG